UACGUAGGGUGCAGGCGUUAAUCGGAAUUACUGGGCGUAAAGCGUGCGCAGGCGGUCUUUUAAGUCAGAUGUGAAAUCCCCGGGCUUAACCUGGGAACUGCGUUUGAAACUGAAAGGCUAGAGUGUGGCAGAGGGGGGUGGAAUUCCACGUGUAGCAGUGAAAUGCGUAGAGAUGUGGAGGAACACCGAUGGCGAAGGCAGCCCCCUGGGCUAACACUGACGCUGAGACGCGAAAGCGUGGGGAGCAAACAGG
This 253-nucleotide ribosomal RNA is filed under the name uncultured bacterium. Its description in RNAcentral is "partial 16S ribosomal RNA". It matches the Rfam family "Bacterial small subunit ribosomal RNA", at positions 524 to 776 of the family's 1533-position model. The record is from RNAcentral.